This 253-nucleotide ribosomal RNA is filed under the name uncultured bacterium. RNAcentral describes it as "partial 16S ribosomal RNA". It matches the Rfam family "Bacterial small subunit ribosomal RNA", at positions 524 to 776 of the family's 1533-position model. The record is from RNAcentral.
UACAGAGGUGGCAAGCGUUGUUCGGAAUCACUGGGCGUAAAGCGCACGUAGGCGGACUUGUCAGUCAGGGGUGAAAUCCCGGGGCUCAACCUCGGAACUGCCUCUGAUACAGCAAGUCUUGAGUCCGGAAGAGGUGGGUGGAAUUCCUAGUGUAGAGGUGAAAUUCGUAGAUAUUAGGAAGAACACCGGUGGCGAAGGCGGCCCACUGGUCCGGUACUGACGCUGAGGUGCGAAAGCGUGGGGAGCAAACAGG